AAAAGCUUUCUUUAAUUGAAUAAUUGAAUUUAAUUUUUUUAGUGCAAAAGCAAAAAUAAAAAUUAGGGACAAGAAGACCCUAUGAAUUUUUUAUUAAAUUUUAUAAAACUUUAUAUAAAAUUUAAUUUAAUUGGGGUGAUGGAAAAAGAAUAAAUAUCUUUUUUUUUAAAAAAAAUUGGUUCCGUUUUUAGCGAUUAAAUGAAAAAAAUACUCUAGGGAUAACAGCGUAAUAAUUUUGGAUAGUUCAUAUAGAUAAAAUAGUUUGCGACCUCGAUGUUGGAUUAGGAUUCUUUUUUGGUGAANAAGUUAAAAAAA
This 315-nucleotide ribosomal RNA is filed under the name Ixodes ricinus (castor bean tick). RNAcentral describes it as "partial large subunit ribosomal RNA". Lineage: Eukaryota; Metazoa; Arthropoda; Arachnida; Ixodida; Ixodidae. The record is from RNAcentral.